GUUAUUUUGGCAGAUUAGUGCUUUAAAUUUAGAAUUUAAUUAUGGAUAUUUAUUGUUCAAAUAAUA
Molecule: transfer RNA, 66 nt
Filed under: Eusphalerum torquatum
Lineage: Eukaryota; Metazoa; Arthropoda; Insecta; Coleoptera; Staphylinidae
Description: tRNA-Leu
Source: RNAcentral